RNAcentral lists this ribosomal RNA (404 nucleotides) under uncultured bacterium. RNAcentral describes it as "bacterial SSU rRNA". It matches the Rfam family "Bacterial small subunit ribosomal RNA", at positions 355 to 776 of the family's 1533-position model. The record is from RNAcentral.
UGGGGAAUCUUGCACAAUGGGCGAAAGCCUGAUGCAGCGACGCCGCGUGGAGGAUGAAGGCCUUCGGGUCGUAAACUCCUGUCUGGGGGGAUGAACACUGACAGUACCCCCGGAGGAAGCCCCGGCUAACUACGUGCCAGCAGCCGCGGUAAUACGUAGGGGGCGAGCGUUGUCCGGAAUUACUGGGCGUAAAGCGCGCGCAGGCGGCCUAUUAAGUCAGGUGUUAAAAUGCGGAGCUUAACUCCGUAUCGCACUUGAAACUGGUAGGCUUGAGUGCAGGAGAGGGAAGUGGAAUUCCCAGUGUAGCGGUGAAAUGCGUAGAUAUUGGGAGGAACACCAGUGGCGAAGGCGACUUCCUGGACUGUAACUGACGCUCAGGCGCGAAAGCUAGGGGAGCAAACAGG